UACGGGGGGGGUAAGCGUUGUUCGGAAUUACUGGGCGUAAAGGGCUCGUAGGCGGCCAACUAAGUCGGACGUGAAAUCCCUCAGCUUAACUGGGGAACUGCGUCUGAUACUGGAUGGCUUGGAUUUGGGAGAGGGAUGCGGAAUUCCAGGUGUAGCGGUGAAAUGCGUAGAUAUCAGGUGGAACACCAGUGGCGAAGGCGGCUUUCUGGACGGUAACUGACGCUGAGACGCGAAAGCGUGGGGAGCAAACAGG
Molecule: ribosomal RNA, 253 nt
Filed under: uncultured bacterium
Lineage: Bacteria
Description: partial 16S ribosomal RNA
Rfam family: Bacterial small subunit ribosomal RNA
Source: RNAcentral